GACAGAAACCACCGAAGUGCCUGUAUACGCCAAUACUGUAAACAAGCAGAAGAUAUAAGGAUAAAAUUGUAUCCCCAUCAGAGGGAAAUGUUGGCACCAAGUUUUCAACACACCGACUGGGAAAUGAUAUCCAAACCUGCAGAAAAACAGUUAAGACAGUGGCGCGAUCCGGAGAACCGCACUGCUGUGAGCUGAUCGCCUUCGUCGUCGUCGUCGUCGUCGUCUUGAUCUUCUGCAAGGACCUAAGUGUCUCCGGAGCCUGGGAAGCACAGGGAAGCACGGUGGGAGUCAUAGAAUGUCAACCCUCUGCGGAAGAAAAAAACCCUCACAGACUUAAAGGGCCAGUCCUGUCUUAAGAGUAGAGAGCAGAGAUGUCAC
Mastomys coucha (southern multimammate mouse) is the source of this 378-nucleotide long non-coding RNA. RefSeq lists it as uncharacterized. NCBI's taxonomy places the organism in Eukaryota, Metazoa, Chordata, Mammalia, Rodentia, Muridae. The transcript is spliced from 3 exons. The record is from RefSeq and is a predicted model, not a curated record.